CUGCCCCACGUGGCCGCUCACUGUCCUGUGGCAGUGUCUCUCGGUGUCCCCAGACAGGAGGGCAGAAGUGCAAGGCCACUUGAGCUCAAGCCUCGGGGGACCGCCUCACUUCCACUACAUUCUGCCGGAGAAAGCAAACAAGGCCAGGCCGCCUUCAAGAGAUGCAGAAAUGGACCCCGUGCCUGGAGGAGAUGAGCAGCUGAGGGCCAUUACGGACCGGGAUGGGGGCUGGGAUUUGUCGUCAUUAAACCACCUGUCACACGUGGGAAAGCACGUUAAACUGCCACUCCGGCACCCGGGGCCUCGUCACCCUGAAAACUCUGCUCUUCAGACCUACCUUCCAACAGGAGCAAACAAACAAACAAAUAGAGCAAGAGGAGAAGAACAUUUUCUGUAACAAUUUCAAAUAUGUACCAUCGGCUUGCUUUCUGCUUAUCAGCUGAUAGAGGAAAAGAUACUGGAGGAGGAAUCCACACCGAUGUUGGUAGCCAGUGGCCCGCACUGAGCGCACAAAAUGAUAAGAAUGCCAGUGUUUAAAAGAGCUGGAACUUUUUGAAACGGAGGAGUACAUGGAUUUUGUCAAUCUGAUGUUUUAACGAGGAGAUAGAAGCUGCCGUUUUUACUUUGCCAACUUUUUUUUUUUUUUUUGGUGGGGGUGGGGGAUGUGUCUGAGGACACCAAUUAUAUCUCAGAUGGCACCCAAGGAAAAAUUGGCCUCUAGACUCCUGCUGCUACCAGAGAUUCCGUGUUUUUUGUAAAAACAGUCAGGCUGGAAGUCUUUUCAUGCCUCUUUAAAAAUACAAAUCAUUUGAGCUUUCCCAAAUUUCCAGUUUUUAAAGAAAAAUCAUUCAGACAAUUUCUGUCUCCAGGAAUGCAACCGACGUAAAUGUAUUUGAAGGGGGAUUUCUCUCUUCUACAAUAGUGUGGUUUCCUUAAACACAGUACCUCAUUACCAGUAAAUGAGUUAAUUUGUAUUUUCCCCUUUGAACUAAGUCUCAUAUAUAACAUGAUUCAGAACAUGUUUUGAAGUACAUAAAUAUGCUCAUAGUAACUUCAUAAACAUCUCCUUGACUUUGGAUUUAUUAUUUCAAUUGGCUCUGGUGAGGGCAUUUGUAUGCUUAGAAACCUCUUCAGUUUCUUUUUGUGUUUUAGUGCUCGGUGUUAAUGGACUUUGUAACUGUUGCAUAAAACACAUCUAUCAACAAAGGUUUAAGAACACACAUUUAUACCAGGACUGUUUAAAAGUUGGGAGCCUUGGUGAAGAG
Molecule: long non-coding RNA, 1265 nt
Filed under: Neogale vison (American mink)
Lineage: Eukaryota; Metazoa; Chordata; Mammalia; Carnivora; Mustelidae
Description: Neovison vison (American mink) lncRNA (ENSNVIG00000020873.1)
Source: RNAcentral